Molecule: long non-coding RNA, 3972 nt
Organism: Pangasianodon hypophthalmus (striped catfish)
Lineage: Eukaryota; Metazoa; Chordata; Actinopteri; Siluriformes; Pangasiidae
Exons: 3
Source: RefSeq, a predicted model, not a curated record
CAAACAAACAAACUGGGGAAGAAAGAAAGGUGUGUGUUUGAUAGAAACUGAAAGAAAGAAAGAAAGAAAGAAGGGCAACAGCACCCUGCUGGAGAGCAGAGGAGUUUGUCAGUGCUCCCUCUAGUGUCAGUCUGUGGAACUGCAGCUGGUCAGUAAUGAGAUUGUUCAGUAGCCACUACAGUAAACAGUUUCCUUAGUGGCGUCAUUAAGCGCAUCUGCUUCAGUACAGUGCAGCAUUCCGGUCUCUCUCGCGCUGGUGGGAAGUAAAACUACACCACUGACUCCUGUUUUGGAUAGUUCUUGUUCUUUUUAAAUGUGCAGUGGAAAAACAACAUGUUUUUGAAAGAAAGAAUGAAUGAAAAAAAGAAAAGAUGCUACAUAUUUGAAAGAAAGAAAGAAGGAAGGAAGGGACGGACACUCCACAUAAAUAGAUUAAAACGUGUUGUUAAACGUACAGUUGUAGAUAUGGUGAAACCUUUUGUAAUUUAUUUAUGUGUUAUAAAAAUUAUAGAAAGAGUCUCCACUAGUUUAAUGCUUAGCUGCUCUACUCUAUGGUUGGAUUGUAUUUUGCGUGUAAAUGUAAAAAAAAAUGUUUAAAAAAGUAGCAGAACCAAAGCAGAACUUCCUGUCCAUCUUAUCUACUCUGCCUAUUCUCAGUCACGUCUCUGUAGCUUGCAGCUAAAAACAUCAUAUCGAUGAAACUAAAUCCCAUCCAUCUUAAAUAAUCCCCAUUAUUAAUAUCAACUUUGUAGAUGCACAUGUGUGUGUUACGAACCCUGCUUUCUAGAUUCAUCUGGUCUUCCACUAGAGCACCAGUAUAGAGACCAGUGACACAGAACGUUCUAGGUCAAGCUUGGUCUAAGAGUCUAGCCCACGAAUGUGUAAUAAUCAUCGCUUUCCUAUUGAAGAGGCGGAGUGGAGGCUUGUGAGCGCUUGUGCCUUCUCAGGGUGAUACAGAGCAGCAGCAAAACAUUCUCUUCUAAGAUUAAGUGUACUGCAGUGUACUGUUCUGUCCUAGCACACUUUUCUGUACCCCUUCUCCAUGCUCUCUCUCCUCCACAGCCUGAGCACACUCCCACAUUUCAGCCUUGCACCGAAGACAGCGAGCUCUUCUUCUCACAGGCAGAGCGUUCAGAGAUAUGAGACAGUGUAACAUGUCAAAGCUGAGUCAGAUGCAGACGUCUCCAAACCUCAACACAGGUUUAUUUUUAUUAGAAGCGCUUACUGCUUAUUAGAGUAAACACUUUAUCCUGAUCAGGGUCACGGUGGAUCUGGAGCCUAUCUGGGGAAUACUGUGCACGAGACGGGAAUACACCCUGGACGGGAUGCCAAUCCAUCGCAGGGCAUCGUGCAUGCAUACAUUCACACACUCAUUCACGCCUAGGAGCAGUUUAAAAACCACAUGGACACGAGGAGAACAUGCGAAACUCCACACAGACAGUAACCCGAGCUCAGGAGAGAACUGCAGACCCUGCCACUCUACUACACUUCAGUAUACUAUAAUUACUGUCUAGAUGUCACUAUCCUAUAAUUACUUUAUACACAUGAAACAAUAUGAAUAUGAAGAGGAGGUGCACUAUUCGUUUUUUUUUGUUGUUCUUAUAGUUUUUUUUUCUUUAGAAAACUUGCCAGAAAGACUAGAGGUGUGCAUCGUGACUGGAAUCUCGCAGGAAAAAACAAAAAAGUCACACAAACAGGAGGUUUUUACUUCCAUGCCUUCAUGGUCGAGCGAGCAGUCAGAUAUGAAACAAACAAACAUUGACAUGAAUGUAAGUUACUGCGUGAUGCAUUUACAACAUUCAUUCACUCAUCCUUAGUAACUGCCUGGUCAGGGUGACAGGAGGUUUAAAUUAGACUACUAGUUUGCUUAUAUUUUGGGAAAUAGAACUAAAUUUGUUUAUUGCAAGAAGGUACAAACUCUGUAUAAAAAAAUAAGAAAUGUGUGAGUGGGAUUAAACAAACAGUCCUACGCAUCUUUAAUUAAGACCAAUUAUGAAUUGGAGUGAUGUAGCUGAGGUUGAGGAACAGUCAGAGCCAGAAAUCACACAUCACGCUGACCCUGUUGACGCUUCCACGUCGACGGUUAUUCCAGUGUUUUUAGCAGCAUAUUGGUAAAGUUAAUAUAAAUUUUUUUUAAAUCCUUCUCGUUUAGGCCACACCCACUUCAGAUUUAAAUCCAAAUACAGAUACAGCACUAAAACACUAUUGGGAGCACUAAACUGAUACAGAUAAUGUCACAGCGUUACACCCAGGAUAAUUACACAAUCAUUAAUUUAUACACUUCAGUACACCAUAAUUACAUUUUAAACUUUAGUACACUGAAACUUUAGUACACUACAUUAAAUUCUUACAUUUUAGUAAGCAUUCUAGUAUUUUGAAUUUUGAAGUCAUCAUUCUUGAAGUCAUUCUGCAACUAAGAUAUCUGUAUUGCAUGUGUGUGUGUAUGGUUUUUCACUCCCUAAAAAUGGGUUUAGUAUUAAAAAUACAGGUACUGUUUCUUUCUAGUCAUCGAAAAUAAAAAUGCCAUGGUGUCUAGAAGAGAGAGCAAUCUAUAAUAACAAUGUACUUAUUCAGAAAUUCCCAUUUCUGUGCAUGGUCAGAUUUAAUUCAAGGGGCAACAAGCUGAAUUAGUACAGACAGUUCUACUCUGGCAUCUGCAGAAUAUUACUACUAAUUCAAUUAUUCUAACUCACUGAGUGGAAAGAUGGAAUAAUAAAACUGUGUGGUUGUUCUGAAGACUGGAGCGAGUGUGGAUUCUGGUGCAUUAUCUCUCUCUGUCCUUACAGAUACCCAGCAGUGUGUUUUAGUGUGUGUGUGUGUGUGUGUAUGUGUGUGUAUAUGUGUUGAAGUGGAAAAAAGACUGGUGUGGGAGAUAUAUAGCAUGGUGGUCCUGUGCUCCAUCUUGUUUUAUUGCUUCUCUCCACUAUCUCACUAUCGGAUGUUGGAGAGGGAUAAGAUACGAAGAAGAGCAGAUCGGAAAGAUGGGAUAAAAGCAUGGGCCAGGAAGUGAGACAGAGUGAGAGAGACAGAGAAAGAGAAAGAGAGAGAAGUUGGAAUGGAAAAUACAUGUCUCUGGCUGUAAUCCAACUGUCUAGGAAGUUCCUACUUGAACAAACAGUCAAACACCGAAACAUGAAUCUGGAGGAAGGAAUCAAAGAAAAGAAUGAACGCAUCUGCCUUUAAAUCCUUUGCCCUCUUUUACUCUCAUACAUAUAUCAGUGUUUUUUAUGACGUCAUCAUCCAUAUUCUUUUGCUACAGGAAACACUCAUUUCUGAUUGGCUGGUAGCGGUCUUUUAUUGUCUUAUACUUCAUUUAGAGAUGAUGUGUGAAGGUUUUUACAAAGAUGCUCUGUCUGCCUACUCUCUCCGGUUUCACAUUAGUCAUCAUGUAAGGGUUCGCCAGUACUGCAGGUGGCGCUGUUAAAUUUUCCAGGACAAUUUCUAGGACUACAGUUCAUGAAAGUCACCCAUUUGGAAAUGAAUCAAUGACCAAACAUGUAGCGUGUUCAUCUGCGGACUUCGCCCAGGUGACAUGUCCACAACACGGUGAGCGCAGCUUCCCCAUGAUAUCCAUUUGCUCCUCAGUUACAUCAUAUUCUUCAUGGAAGCCAGAUGCAAAGCCGCAGUGCUGCAGGGUCCUUCUGAACUCUCCGAGCGCUCUGCAGCUCUUUUUUGUUAAUUUUUUUUAAAUGUCAUUUGAAAUGUCAGCUUGAUUUACUGUAAGGCUUCUGCAUUGUUUUAUGGAAAGAUGCUCUGCGAUAUACGGCCACUGAGACAGGGUUCUUCCAAACAGCCCACAGCUGGGGAAAAGUGAGCCUGAUGACGCCAAUAGAAGAGCAGCUCACCUUCCUGCCGGAGAACAGCAUGCAGAGUUGGUGCAUGGAGCCUCCAUUUUUGGUCAGCUCCUUCUUCAGUGUUUUGGGCGAGGGCAGCGUCCAGCCUCCCUUGCUAGCGGUGGUCACCUCCAGGCGG